RNAcentral lists this unclassified non-coding RNA (432 nucleotides) under soil metagenome. RNAcentral describes it as "partial contains 5.8S ribosomal RNA, internal transcribed spacer 2, and large subunit ribosomal RNA". The stretch from base 1 to 120 matches the Rfam family "5.8S ribosomal RNA", at positions 35 to 154 of the family's 154-position model. The record is from RNAcentral.
GAUGAAGAACGUAGCGAAAUGCGAUACGUAAUGUGAAUUGCAGAAUUCAGUGAAUCAUCGAAUCUUUGAACGCAUAUUGCGCUCUCUGGUAUUCCGGAGAGCAUGCUUGUUUGAGUAUCAGUAAACACCUCAACUUCCAUAUCUUUUUUGAAAUGGAAGUUGGACUUGAGUGAUCCCAACGCUUUUCCUCACCGAAAAGUGGCGGGUUACUUGAAAUGCAGGUGCAGCUGGACUUUUCUCUGAGCUAUAAGCAUAUCUAUUUAGUCUGCCUAAAAAACAGAUUAUUACCUUUGCUGCAGCUAACAUAAAGGAGAUUAGUUCUUGUGCUGACUGAUGCAGGAUUCACAAAAACGGCUUCGGCCGACUUUGUAAACUCGAUCUCAAAUCAAGUAAGACUACCCGCUGAACUUAAGCAUAUCAAUAAGCGGAGGA